GCGGGUGUAGUUCAAUGGUAGAACCCCAGCCUUCCAAGCUGAUUACGUGGGUUCGAUUCCCAUCACCCGCU
Transfer RNA from Eggerthia catenaformis, 71 nucleotides. It matches the Rfam family "tRNA". Rfam says of the family: Transfer RNA (tRNA) molecules are approximately 80 nucleotides in length. Their secondary structure includes four short double-helical elements and three loops (D, anti-codon, and T loops). Lineage: Bacteria; Bacillati; Bacillota; Erysipelotrichia; Erysipelotrichales; Coprobacillaceae. The record is from Rfam.